This 87-nucleotide non-coding RNA is filed under the name Rhizobium sp. Its description in RNAcentral is "Glycine sequence". It matches the Rfam family "Glycine riboswitch aptamer". From Rfam's summary of the family: This family represents the bacterial glycine riboswitch. Glycine riboswitches usually consist of two metabolite-binding aptamers domains with similar structures in tandem. RNAcentral also lists the same sequence under 1 other name. The record is from RNAcentral. Lineage: Bacteria; Pseudomonadati; Pseudomonadota; Alphaproteobacteria; Hyphomicrobiales; Rhizobiaceae.
UAACAGGACUCUGGAGAGAGGCCCCGUCGUCAGACAGGGCACGCCGAAGGGAUAACAAUCUCAGGCGACAAGGACAGAGGGGGCUCA